UAAACGGUGCCUUUCGGCACCACCACAUCGAGGCAACAUCGCACCGU
Non-coding RNA from Chlamydomonas reinhardtii, 47 nucleotides. The record is from Rfam. NCBI's taxonomy places the organism in Eukaryota, Viridiplantae, Chlorophyta, Chlorophyceae, Chlamydomonadales, Chlamydomonadaceae.